This 670-nucleotide ribosomal RNA is filed under the name uncultured marine eukaryote. Its description in RNAcentral is "SSU rRNA". It matches the Rfam family "Eukaryotic small subunit ribosomal RNA", at positions 617 to 1291 of the family's 1831-position model. The record is from RNAcentral.
GGUUAAAAAGCUCGUAGUUGGAUUUCUGCUGAAGCAAACCGGUCCGCCCUCUGGGUGAGCAUCUGGCUUUAUUUUGGCAUAUGCUUAGACUUUGCAGCUGCACUUGACUGUGUGGUGUGAAGGCUAAGCCAUUUACUUUGAGGAAAUCAGAGUGUUCCAAGCAGGCAAUUGGCUUGAAUACACUAGCAGGGAAUAAUAUGAUAUGACUGUGGUUUUAUUUUGUUGGCUUCUAGAAUUAGAGUAAUGGUUAAUAGGGAUAGUUGGGGGCAUUCAUAUUUAACUGUCAGAGCUGAAAUUCUUGGAUUUGUUAAGGAUGAACGACUGCGAAAGCAUUUGCCAAGGAUGCUUCCAUUGAUCAAAAACGAAAGUUAGGGGAUCGAAGACGAUUAGAUACCGUCCUAGUCCUAACCAUAAACCAUGCCAACUAGAGAUUGGAGAUUGUUAUGUGCAUGAUUCCUUCAGCACCUUAUGAUAAAUCAAAGUCUUUGGGUUCCGGGGGGAGUAUGGUCGCAAGGCUGAAACUUAAAGGAAUUGACGGAAGGGCACCACCAGGAGUGGAGCCUGCGGCUUAAUUUGACUCAACACGGGGAAACUUACCAGGUCCAGACAUAGUAAGGAUUGACAGAUUGAUAGCUCUUUCUUGAUCCUAUGGGUGGUGGUGCAUGGCCGU